GAAUACGAAAAUCGACCAAGUGCUGUGGUGUUGGUUUAGAACCCCAUACGGAUUGAAUCCGUCAGUGGCAAGUCCCAAUCUCACAUUUCAGGGAUCCGCAGCAAACUCAGGGAACGUUCGAUCGAACUCUUUCCAUGCCUCCCCAUCUGCAGGAUGCCGCAUCACAUCAUCAUCUACCCAUUUUUCCUUAUGCCAUCUCAUGUUUGUGGCAGUAUGUGUCGACAUAUAAAAUCGCUGCAACCUAGGUUUCAGGGGCAGACAACGCAUGACUUUUUGUGGGAUCUUAUUCGUUCUAUUCUGAGA
This 303-nucleotide long non-coding RNA is filed under the name Prunus persica (peach). Its description in RNAcentral is "long non-coding RNA (PPER_LNC007710)". The record is from RNAcentral. Lineage: Eukaryota; Viridiplantae; Streptophyta; Magnoliopsida; Rosales; Rosaceae.